UGGCGAACGGGUGAGUAACACGUGAGUAACCUGCCCUUAACUCUGGGAUAAGCCUGGGAAACUGGGUCUAAUACCGGAUAUGACUCCUCAUCGCAUGGUGGGGGGUGGAAAGCUUUAUUGUGGUUUUGGAUGGACUCGCGGCCUAUCAGCUUGUUGGUGAGGUAAUGGCUCACCAAGGCGACGACGGGUAGCCGGCCUGAGAGGGUGACCGGCCACACUGGGACUGAGACACGGCCCAGACUCCUACGGGAGGCAGCAGUGGGGAAUAUUGCACAAUGGGCGAAAGCCUGAUGCAGCGACGCCGCGUGAGGGAUGACGGCCUUCGGGUUGUAAACCUCUUUCAGUAGGGAAGAAGCGAAAGUGACGGUACCUGCAGAAGAAGCGCCGGCUAACUACGUGCCAGCAGCCGCGGUAAUACGUAGGGCGCAAGCGUUAUCCGGAAUUAUUGGGCGUAAAGAGCUCGUAGGCGGUUUGUCGCGUCUGCCGUGAAAGUCCGGGGCUCAACUCCGGAUCUGCGGUGGGUACGGGCAGACUAGAGUGAUGUAGGGGAGACUGGAAUUCCUGGUGUAGCGGUGAAAUGCGCAGAUAUCAGGAGGAACACCGAUGGCGAAGGCAGGUCUCUGGGCAUUAACUGACGCUGAGGAGCGAAAGCAUGGGGAGCGAACAGGAUUAGAUACCCUGGUAGUCCAUGCCGUAAACGUUGGGCACUAGGUGUGGGGGACAUUCCACGUUUUCCGCGCCGUAGCUAACGCAUUAAGUGCCCCGCCUGGGGAGUACGGCCGCAAGGCUAAAACUCAAAGGAAUUGACGGGGGCCCGCACAAGCGGCGGAGCAUGCGGAUUAAUUCGAUGCAACGCGAAGAACCUUACCAAGGCUUGACAUGAACCGGAAAUACCUGGAAACAGGUGCCCCGCUUGCGGUCGGUUUACAGGUGGUGCAUGGUUGUCGUCAGCUCGUGUCGUGAGAUGUUGGGUUAAGUCCCGCAACGAGCGCAACCCUCGUUCUAUGUUGCCAGCGCGUUAUGGCGGGGACUCAUAGGAGACUGCCGGGGUCAACUCGGAGGAAGGUGGGGACGACGUCAAAUCAUCAUGCCCCUUAUGUCUUGGGCUUCACGCAUGCUACAAUGGCCGGUACAAAGGGUUGCGAUACUGUGAGGUGGAGCUAAUCCCAAAAAGCCGGUCUCAGUUCGGAUUGGGGUCUGCAACUCGACCCCAUGAAGUCGGAGUCGCUAGUAAUCGCAGAUCAGCAACGCUGCGGUGAAUACGUUCCCGGGCCUUGUACACACCGCCCGUCAAGUCACGAAAGUUGGUAACACCCGAAGCCGGUGGCCUAAC
Molecule: ribosomal RNA, 1333 nt
Filed under: bacterium C0159
Lineage: Bacteria
Description: bacterial SSU rRNA
Rfam family: Bacterial small subunit ribosomal RNA
Source: RNAcentral